Triplophysa rosa is the source of this 3363-nucleotide long non-coding RNA. RefSeq lists it as uncharacterized. Lineage: Eukaryota; Metazoa; Chordata; Actinopteri; Cypriniformes; Nemacheilidae. The transcript has 4 exons. The record is from RefSeq and is a predicted model, not a curated record.
UGAUGUGCGUAACGUUGAAACAGAAAUAAUUAAAAACAAUACCAUACUUGAAACAAGUUAGUCCUGUUGAUGUUUUUAUUUGACAAAUAUGAUAAACUGUAAUAUAAUACAGUUUUUUGGAAGUCAGUUUGUGUCGUGCUUUUGGCGGGCUGCACGCAUUUUAAAUUCUGUGAGGAAGGAACUGUGAACUCAACCAACCGCCGUUUUCCCACACAAGAAUUGAGGUAACUUAAUGUCUGUGCAUCUUAUUUUAACAAUUUACACUGAUCAUCCUGUUGAAAAGUUUAACGUUACACACACCUGACUCUUGAUGUGUUUUAUUGUCUUCUUGAGCAUCUGUAAAUGUUUGUAUGUUUUGUAAUAGUUGUGUAUGAGUCUCUCAAUUGUCAUAAGUGUAUAAAGAUGAAGGUCAACAUCAUACAGUCACUGCUGGAAAGGGCUCAAAUAUGCUGAAGAUCCUGGAAAAGUAAAGAUGGGACCUGGAGGAUUUUUCUGAAGAUCAGUGGACAGUUUAAUGGCUCAGGACAAACAAGAGACUCAAACAACUAACACAGAACACACAAACAGAUGUUGAUUAUGCAGAUAACAAUCACAGAGGAUGAGGGAAGUGUCUCUGAAGAGAUCACCUGUACAGGUAAGACUGAUGCAGAAGAGCAAAUGACCAAAACGUUCAUUAUCGCUCAGUCAUUACGAGAACAUGAGCAUCUGUAAUAUGUUCACUGUGUUAGUUAAAGGAGUAGUUUACUUUAUAAUUGGCCCCCAUUCACUUUUCAUAGUCGUUUUUAUUAAAUUGUUAACUAUACACUUCAUUUCAUUAUGAUAUGUGAUGAAGAACAGUGUGUAAUUGAGUAACAAUAUGAUAGUCAUGUACUGUAAGUCAGUUUGUCUCUCAUUUAUGACCAUUUGAGUUCGACAUUUUCUCCAGUCAGCAUUUUAAAAAGAAAAACUGAACUUCUUACAGGAUGUGGUGUCUGAAAAUUACACUUCUGUCUUUCUCCAGCUGUCACCGCUGACCAUCAAAUACAGCAAACAAUACAGGGUGAGACACGCAGAGAGACAGACUGAGAAAUCGACAGAGACACUGAGAGAGAGAGAGCCGUAAAGAGAAACGAGGGGGUGAGACAUACAGAGAGAGACGAACACUGAGAGUGAGACAUACAGAGAGACGAGGGGGUGAGACAGACAGUGACAGUGAGACGUAUAUAGAGAAAGACACUGAGAGUGAGACGUACAGAGAGACAGACACUGAGAGUGAGACGUAUAUAGAGACAGACACUAAGAAUGAGACAGAGAGAGUGAGACAGACACUGAGAAUGAGACAGAGAGAGUGAGACAGACACUGAGAAUGAGACAGAGAGAGUGAGACGCAUAUAGAGACAGACACUGAGAAUGAGACGUACAGAGAGAAAUCGUGAUACUAGAUCAAGAUAGAUAAUCAGCGAUACUGAGAAAUCGCCAGAGACUGAAAAUAACACUUCUAAAAUACUGGUGUAAAAUCAAAGAUACUGACAACAACAAAUAUAUUGCUUUAACUAUUGAAGGUGAGUGAAGAGUGUUUAGUGUUUAGCAAUGCAUAAAUACUGUUUUAAAGAGUUUAAAAAGCAAGCCUGCUGCAACCAAUAAUCUCAAAAACAUUCAGUAUGAACCGUAAAACAGUUGUCAUGACUUAUGUCUGUCUGCCACUUUUAGUUUAAUAUUAAAGGAACAGUUCACCCAAAAAUGAAAAGUCUGUCAUGAAUUACUCACUCUCUAGUUCCAAACCUGUAUAAAUUUCUUUGUUCAGUUGAACACAGAGGAAGAUAUUUGAAGAACGCUUGUAACCAAACAGUUCUUGGACCCCAUUGACCACCAUAGUAGGAAAAAAUACAGUCAAAAGUGUCCCAGAAUUGUUUGCUGUCCUACAUUCUUCAAAAUGUCUUCUAUUGUGUUCAACAGAACUAAGUAGUUUUUCCUACUAUGGGAGUCAAUGGGGUCCAAGAACUGUUUGGUUAUGAGCAUUCUUCCAAAUAUCUUUCUCUGUGUUCAUCAGAAAAAAGUAAAUUUAUACAGAUUUGGAACAAGUUGACCGUGAGUACAUUUAUUUUUGGGUGAAGUAUCCCUUUAGGAUCGAUUCAUAUAUGUGUCAUUUAUGGAACAUUUUUAUACUUGAAAUAAUAUUGUAAAUAUAAAAUUAACUGAUAACUUGUGCUCAUGUAAUCCAUGAUCAUUGUGUUGUAUUUUGUUUCUGCAGGCUGUUCUAUAUCAGUGAAUGAAACAUCAGCUGUGAAGAUGAGCAGAUAUUCAGGAGAACCUGUGUUAUUCUCUUGUUUUGUUCAGUGCACCCCUCGUCAUAAACCAGAUCGAUGGGGAACGACAGAGAAAUGACAUCUACAGAACUCAAUAAUCUUCAUGAUUGUUUAAUUUCACUUCAGGGCAUUACGCUCUGCUGAUUUCUGAUCUGACAGAGGAGGAUGAAGGACUCUACUCGUGCUGGAUUAACAAGAAUCAACACAAGAACUUCCGUCUCGCUGUUAAGGGUAAAGAUGUCAUCUUUAUGAAGUUCCCCUUGAGUGUAAUAUAGUUUCUGCUGCAUUCUUCCAAAACCUCAUGUUUGCAAAGCCACAUUCAAUCUAAGAAAGGAUCCAUGCUGUGUUUUGAGGGAAGUUGUGUCUGCUUUGUGGUUCUAUAGGCUGUGUGGUGUCAGAAUCUAAUGAAACCAUGACGUCUCAUCCAGGACGGUCUGUGCUGCUCUCCUGCACCUGUGAAGAUGAUCAAACCAAAGCCAAACACUUCAAAUGGCGGCGUGCAGAUUUAAAUAAGAGAAUCGUGUCUGAGACCGAGAAGAGUACAGGCCGAUUCAAGACACUUGUUCAUGAUUCUCCUGCUAAUCUGUCUUUACUGAUCUCAGACCUGAUUGAGGAUGACCAGGGAUCAUACGUGUGGACAGUGAAUGGAAAAGUGAUAAACAGGUAACAGGUAAGUGCUCUCUCCGCUUUCUGUGUGCAGGAGGAAAAUAAACGUCACUUAAUAUAAACGUGUGUGUGUGUGUGUGUUUGCGCGCUUCCAGGAUCUGAAAGUCUUUUCAUGAGUAUUCUAAUCACGGGUCUGAUGAUGCUGAUGGUGCUGGGAUCGGCUCUGUGCAUCUACUGGAGAUGUGUGACAGCAACAAAAAACAGCAGCAGGACAAGCCAGAGAGAAUGAGAGUGAUGUGACAUACGCAGCAGUUAAACACGAGGCCGAAAUUACAAGAGGAACGAACUACUAAAUCUGAGAACUUGAUAGGUUCGCCGGGAAGAUGCACUCCGCCCACCGAGGGAGCCGAUUGGUCUUUGUGAGCAGCCGGCGGGAGAGAAGGCAGUUAUCUGAUGUCACCUCACGGAAAAC